AGAGUUUGAUCCUGGCUCAGGAUGAACGCUAGCGGCAGGCCUAAUACAUGCAAGUCGAACGGGAAGGGCCCCUUCGGGGGUCCUGAGAGUGGCGCACGGGUGCGCAACGCGUAUGCAACCAACCCCCGACGGGCGGAUAGCCGGUGGAAACGCCGGAUAAUACGCCAUGGUUCCGAGGGAGGGCAUCCUCCUUUGGAUAAAGCAGCGAUGCGGUCGGGGACGGGCAUGCGUCCCAUUAGAUGGUAGGCGGGGUGACGGCCCACCUAGUCGACGAUGGGUAGGGGAUCUGAGAGGACGGUCCCCCACACUGGUACUGAGACACGGACCAGACUCCUGCGGGAGGCAGCAGUAAGGAAUAUUGGUCAAUGGGCGUGAGCCUGAACCAGCCAAGUAGCGUGCAGGAUGACGGCCCUACGGGUUGUAAACUGCUUUUAUGCGGGGAUAAAGUGCGCGACGUGUCGCGUUUUGUAGGUACCGCAUGAAUAAGGACCGGCUAAUUCCGUGCCAGCAGCCGCGGUAAUACGGAAGGUCCGGGCGUUAUCCGGAUUUAUUGGGUUUAAAGGGAGCGCAGGCGGCCUUUUAAGCGUGACGUGAAAUGUAGGCGCUCAACGUCUGAAUUGCGUCGCGAACUGUUAGGCUUGAGUAGACGGAAUGCCGGUGGAAUUCGUGGUGUAGCGGUGAAAUGCUUAGAUAUCACGAAGAACUCCGAUUGCGAAGGCAGCUGGCAGCAGUUUUACUGACGCUCAUGCUCGAAAGUGCGGGUAUCGAACAGGAUUAGAUACCCUGGUAGUCCGCACGGUAAACGAUGGAUGCCCGCUGUUUGCCUUUGAGGUAAGCGGCCAAGCGAAAGCAUUAAGCAUCCCACCUGGGGAGUACGCCGGCAACGGUGAAACUCAAAGGAAUUGACGGGGGCCCGCACAAGCGGAGGAACAUGUGGUUUAAUUCGAUGAUACGCGAGGAACCUUACCCGGGCUUGAACUGCAGGAGAACGAUUCAGAGAUGAUGAGGUCCUUCGGGACUCCUGUGGAGGUGCUGCAUGGUUGUCGUCAGCUCGUGCCGUGAGGUGUCGGCUUAAGUGCCAUAACGAGCGCAACCCUUCUCUUCAGUUGCCAUCAGGCUAUGCUGGGCACUCUGGAGACACUGCCACCGUAAGGUGUGAGGAAGGUGGGGAUGACGUCAAAUCAGCACGGCCCUUACGUCCGGGGCUACACACGUGUUACAAUGGCGCGUACAGAGGGCUGGUGUAUGGCAACAUGCAUCGAAUCCUUAAAACGCGUCUCAGUUCGGACCGGGGUCUGCAACCCGACCCCGCGAAGCUGGAUUCGCUAGUAAUCGCGCAUCAGCCAUGGCGCGGUGAAUACGUUCCCGGGCCUUGUACACACCGCCCGUCAAGCCAUGAAAGCCGGGGGCGCCUGAAGUCCGUGACCGCGAGGGUCGGCCUAGGGUGAAACCGGUGAUUGGGGCUAAGUCGUAACAAGGUA
This 1481-nucleotide ribosomal RNA is filed under the name uncultured rumen bacterium. RNAcentral describes it as "bacterial SSU rRNA". It matches the Rfam family "Bacterial small subunit ribosomal RNA". The record is from RNAcentral.